CUUUUGUGUUUUUUUUUCUCCGAGUUAUUCAAGAAAAUGGAGCAUCUUGAACAGAUGGAACUUCAAUUAUUGGAGCAGUGCCGUGAGAUUACUACCUUGGUGCAGUGUUUCGCGUGGCUGCAACGAUGUGAAGAGUGCAUUGAGCAGCUCGAAGAACUUAGUCGCGCUAAACGUCCUCGGCUCACCGUUGGACAUAGACAAUCUGUGGUAGCGAAAAUCGCGCGACUCGCGAGUGAAAAGACUCUGUUAGAGAGACGUUUCGUGCACGUUGGUGAUUACGCGGGCACUAGUGAUAACGCGGAAAGACUCGUUUGGCGAGAAAUUGAUACCGCGUUCAAGAGUCGUGUUCUGACCGGUGCGGUAAUUAAUUCUAAACACAUCGAACCGCGUCAGUUUCUUGAAGAUGUGCGCGAAAUUGUGUUCAAUCAAGUGCGAGAGACUAUUGAAAAACACGGUAGCGUAAAAAUGAACACCGUGUUCAACGGUGAAUUUACGAACUUUCGUGGUGAACGUAACAAUAAAAAUGUUACCACUAAAAAUUAUGAACUUUAUCGCAUCUCAAAUCUGCACGAGUGGUACGAGCAGCACGUCAUCAAAAUCACAUUGACAAUGCUUGACGAGUUUCAAGAACGUGAUAGCGGAUGGGCGCUGUCACGAAUCCUGAAUUUGACGGUGAACAUAAACAAACUUAAUCCAAUGCUUGCGGGAUGUGAUAUUGCAUUACCACGUGAAAUUAUGUUGAAGAAAGCGGUGAUCAACGUAAAAUCAAAGGACAAUGCGUGUUUUGCGUGGUCAGUGGUGACCGUUCUUUAUCAAGCUGAGCUUCAUGUGAACCGAACAUCUUCUUAUCCGUAUUACGCAACGGUACUUAACUUCGACGGCAUAGAGUUCCUAGUGAUGCUAAAAGACAUUAAAAAAUUUGAACGUGGGAACAGUGUGUCGAUUAACGUGUACAGUGGACAGAAGGAAGAAAAGAGAUUGACUGUUCUCCCGAUACGGCUCACUGACGACGAAAAGGAGAGACACGUCAACUUACGUGGAAGAUCCACAAGACAAAAAUCUCGGCCAUUAUGCAUGGAUCAAAAAUCUAUCUCGUCUUGUGAGCUCACAAUUAAGCAAGAAAAAUAAUAAAAAAUACAUUUGCGAUCGGUAAGUGUAAUAAAAUAAUUUCAAGAAAAAUAAAAUUUAAUUGAAACAUUUUUGAAUAAUAUUUUUAAAACAUUUUAUUUAUUAUUUACAGAUGCCUACAUUACUUCAGCUCCAAUGAAAAGUUAAAGACGCACGCGGUGGACUGCGGAAGGCUGAACGACUGUGCCAUCCGAUUGCCGAACGAAGAUAACAAGUGGCUUCGAUUUGAAAAUUAUCGCAACAAGGAGCGACUUCCUUUCGUCGUUUACGCUGAUCUUGAGUGUCCUCGAAAAGAUGGAAUCGGAUGCUAGCAAAACAUCAUACACAUACCAAAGACAUGAGGUAUUUAACGUAGGACAUGCGAUGUUCCUACAAUGAUGCACUAUCCGCAUACCGGUUUCGUCGCGAUCUCAAUUGUGUCUCGUGAUUCAUCGAAGAAUUGAAAAAUUUAGCGUAUAAAGUAAAAUCAAUUAUAUCCACCAAUGUUCCCAUGAACGCGUUAUCAAAGGAACAGUGGGAGGCAUACCAUAACGCAACACAUUGUCACAUAUGCGAGAAACCAUUUAUACAAGACGAUAAACGGGUACGUGAUCAUUGCCAUUUAACCGGCAGAUACAGAGGUCCCGCGCAUUCAAAUUGCAACUUAAAUUAUAAACAAUCGUUUUACAUUACGGUAAUAUUUCAUAAUUUGUCAGGCUACGAUUCACAUUUUAUAAUCAAGGAAAUAGCCACGGCGUUGGAAGGGCAAGUAGAUUUACUUCCCAUCACAAAAGAAAAAUAUAUCUCGUUCACAAAAAAUAUUAAAGCUACAGAAAAUCAGAAAACUUGUAUAAAAUUACAAUUUAUCGAUUCGUAUAAAUUUCUUAAUGCCAGUCUCGACAAACUGGCUUCGUUUUUGAAUAAGGAUAAACUCCAAAUUUUACAAUCUCAAUUUAAAGACAUAUCAGCAGAAAAUUUCAAUUUAUUGACGCGAAAAGGAGUAUUCCCUUACAAAUAUGUUGACAGUGUUGAAAAGUUGGAGGAAACAUGUCUACCAUCACGCGAAUCAUUUUACAGCUCUCUUAGCGGUGACACGGUAUCUGAGAGUGAUUACGCUCACGCCGUCAAUGUAUAGCAACGGUUCUCUGUUCGUACGCUAGGUGAAUAUAGCGAUUUAUACCUCAAAAUUGAUGUUUUGUUGUUAGCAGACAUUUUUGAAAAUUUCCGCGACAAAUGUCUCGAAAGUUACAGUCUCGAUCCCGCACAUUAUUAUACUCUCCCAGGAUACACGUGGAACGCUAUGUUAAAGUAUACAAAAAUUACUUUUGAACUGCUUACGGACAUUGACAUGGUUAUGUUUAUAGAACGCGGUAUACGCGGCGGUUUAAGUCAAUGUUCUGAUAGAUAUGCACAAGCUAACAACAAAUACAUGCAGUCGUAUGAUCCGUUGAAACCAUCGUCAUACUUAAUGUACUUCGAUGUAAAUAAUUUGUACGAAUGGGCAAUGUGUCAAUCUUUGCCUUAUGAAAAUUUCCAAUGGGUCAAUGACGUAACAAAUUUUGACGUAUCAUCAAUCGCGCUCGAAUCAUCAACAGGCUAUAUCCUUGAAGUCGACCUCGAGUAUCCCAAUACACGACGCGCACACCGAUCUACCCUUCUGUCCGAUACGCGAUAAACCACCUGGCAAGCGAGAGGAGAAAUUGCUUACGACAGUUUGCGAAAAAGAGCGUUACGUCAUUCACUACCGCAACCUACAGCAGUGCAUGCGCCACGGUCUUCGCGUAACAAAAAUCCACCGUAUAUUGAAAUUCACACAAUAUCUCCAUGGCUUCGCGAUUAUAUAACUUAAUACAAAUUUCAGAACUAAUGCUAAAAACGAUUUCGAGAAAAAUUUAUAUAAACUUAUGAAUAACGCGGUAUUCGGGAAAACCAUGGAAAAUGUGCGUAAUCGCGUCAGUGUGAAAUUAUUAACUAAAUGGGACGGACGGCACGGUGCGGAGGCAAUGAUCGCGAAACCAAACUUCCACAGCAGAAGCGUUGUUUCAGAAAAUCUGGUUGCGAUAGAAUUGCAUAAACUCGAGGUGAAAUUUUAUAAACCGAUAUACGUAGGUAUGUGUAUCCUCGAUAUUUCUAAAACAUGUCUAUAUGAAUUUCAUCACGAGUAUGUGCUUCCACUAUAUCACGAUAAAUGCAAAGUAAUGUAUACCGACACCGACAGUCUUAUUUAUCAUAUCGAAUGCGAUGACAUACAUAUAUGAAAUAAUGAAACGCGAUAUUCACAGGUUUGACACAAGCGACUACCCGAUAAAUAAUAAGUAUGGUAUGCCUCUCUCUAACAAAAAAGUUCCCGGUUUAAUGAAAGAUGAAAAUAAUGGCGCUAUCAUGACUGAGUUCGUUGGGCUUAGAGCAAAGAUGUAUGCUUUACGCGUCGAAGGUAAAAAAGAUACAAAAAAGAUUAAAGGCGUAAAAAACAACGUUGUAGCCAGAACCAUAACAUUUCAGGAUUACACGAGAUGUCUCCACGACGAAAUUGAAUUGACGCGAAAGCAAACUUGUAUACGAUCAAAAUUGCAUAAGGUGUAGGUAUACAAUAUCGGAAACAAAAAUUGCUCUAAGUCCAUACGACGAUAAGCGGUAUAUCGUGCCUGAUUCCACCAAUACACUACCAUGGGGACAUUAUCAAAUACCAUUGUAAAUACGUUCUAUAAUAUAAAUUAUGUAUUUUAUAUUUAAUAUUCUAUAUGUAUCUUAUAAGUUGCGUUUCAUGUAUUGUGUGCGAUAUGUGAUAGUUAAUGCUUGUCAUGAGUUAAUUUUGAUACGAGCGCGCAAUGAUAAUAAUUGUCUUGUGGGAGAUCCAGCGAUGGAACCGAAACUUGAAUUAUUCAAAGUGCAAUGACGUAUGCCUCAUGUUAUGUUAAAUGAAGUCAACAAACUAUCCAUGUUGCGAACUUUGCAGAGCGGGCGAUACCUGAGUGCGAGUUUCCGUUCAUGGGAUCUAUAUGAGUAUCCCUAUUGCCAAGUACGACGAAGCAUUCCUGGGCAGUCAAGAUUGCAAUUCAGCUAGAAAAACCACGAUAUGUCAUUUUUGCUCUGCAGACUAAUAGAAAAAAUAUUAUGAGAGCUGACAAGAGAUACCUCGAUACCAGUAAAAUAACCAAUGUAAAACUUUAUCUAAACUCUGAAUUUUAUCCUUACGAUGAUCUGAAUCUAGACUUUGGUAAAGGCAAAUAUGCUCUCUUGUAUGACAUGUAUGCACAUUUUCGUCCGUCUUAUUAUCAAGUCCCAGCAGCAGAAGAAUCGGAGGAGAUGAGGCAACAAUACAAACGAGCGUCAGCCGUACCCAGUUCUGCGACCAAACCAAAAGCGAAACGAGUCACGCCCCAGCUCCCGAAAACUUCAGAGAAGAAUAUAAAAUCAAAGAAUGAGGAACCGACUGAAAUGCGUUCGCAGAGCGGGCGGAAGAUAGUCACCCCAGUGAGAUUGUCUUAUUAGUUAAAAAAAGUUCCCCUAGUCGCAACGAAAGGAACGACGGUCCUGACCGAACGGUGGCGCGCCGGCGAGCUUCCUUCUUCUUCUUCACGUUACGAGUGUAAUGGCGGACAGACCACGCGCACGAUUGUAAAGUCAUAAAUAUAUUCAGUCAUUCUCAAGUAUUCAGUGUUCCACCCAGUCAUUUCGUAGUCAUCUCAGUUUCCCGGAUCGAUCCUUAUAUCAGCAGUAACAUAAAUGUUUGGAACCGAUGUUUGACGUAGCAGCAUUUAAAUCUUAUGCUACGGUCAUUGACUGCUCGCGACAAAACGAGUCUAUUAAGAGCGCUACCGUUGAUGUGAGAUUGGAAUUUGAAUUGAAAGAGAAUGCACCGGCAAAUACUAGCGCCUACUGUCUCAUUAUACACGAUCGCGUGAUUGAAUAUUCCCUAUUGACCAACGUAAUGCGCAAAAUCAUGUAAAAAUACUGUCAUAUAAAAAUCAAGAUGUUUUGUAAUAAAAAGCAGUCUCAAAAAAUUACUCGUUAUGGUCGUGCCAACAUUUGCAGACCUGCAAGGUUUCAUUGUUAGAAAAAGAUUUGUCGUGAAGGAAGUGGCGGUAUUGAGACAGAAGAACGUUCUCUCAUAUUACAUUUUUACAAAUUCUAUACCAUGGGACGCAUUGCUAAAAUCCGAAAAGUCUUACGUUUCUUGGUUGACUGCUUAUCAUCAUGGAUUGCAAUGGCACGAUGGGAUGGUCCCGUAUUGGAUUGCGAAAGAUCUGAUUACGAGAGCUGUGUAUGGAAUGAUAAAGAAUGAUGACAUCGAUGGUGACGACGACGAUGACGGCGAUGACGAUGAUGAAGAUCUUGUAUAUGUUAAGGAGCAUGAAAAACAAGAGUGGUUGAAGGAUAUGCUGGAUGCUGAUGCGAGAGAUAAUGUAGUCAUCAAGACCAUGAAUGCUGAUUAUGAAGACAUGGAAUCUUUGAAUAAAUUAGAUGCUACUAACACUAUACAAUGUGGAAAACAUGUUAAGAAUUGCGCAUUACAAAAUGUAUUUAAAAUGUAUAAUUGGUGGUCACAACGCCAAAAGAAAAAUUGUAUUAUUUGAAAAAAUAAAAAUAUAAAAUACAUAAA
RNA transcript from Solenopsis invicta (red fire ant), 5710 nucleotides. RefSeq lists it as uncharacterized. The transcript is spliced from 2 exons. The record is from RefSeq and is a predicted model, not a curated record. Lineage: Eukaryota; Metazoa; Arthropoda; Insecta; Hymenoptera; Formicidae.